GAUGAACGCUGGCGGCGUGCCUAAUACAUGCAAGUCGAGCGAACAGACGAGGAGCUUGCUCCUCUGACGUUAGCGGCGGACGGGUGAGUAACACGUGGAUAACCUACCUAUAAGACUGGGAUAACUUCGGGAAACCGGAGCUAAUACCGGAUAAUAUAUUGAACCGCAUGGUUCAAUAGUGAAAGACGGUUUUGCUGUCACUUAUAGAUGGAUCCGCGCCGCAUUAGCUAGUUGGUAAGGUAACGGCUUACCAAGGCAACGAUGCGUAGCCGACCUGAGAGGGUGAUCGGCCACACUGGAACUGAGACACGGUCCAGACUCCUACGGGAGGCAGCAGUAGGGAAUCUUCCGAAAUGGGCGAAAGCCUGACGGAGCAACGCCGCGUGAGUGAUGAAGGUCUUCGGAUCGUAAAACUCUGUUAUUAGGGAAGAACAAAUGUGUAAGUAACUAUGCACGUCUUGACGGUACCUAAUCAGAAAGCAACGGCUAACUACGG
RNAcentral lists this ribosomal RNA (496 nucleotides) under uncultured bacterium. RNAcentral's name for it is "partial 16S ribosomal RNA". It matches the Rfam family "Bacterial small subunit ribosomal RNA", at positions 28 to 506 of the family's 1533-position model. The record is from RNAcentral.